Molecule: ribosomal RNA, 459 nt
Filed under: uncultured bacterium
Lineage: Bacteria
Description: partial 16S ribosomal RNA
Rfam family: Bacterial small subunit ribosomal RNA
Source: RNAcentral
CCUACGGGUGGCAGCAGUGAGGAAUAUUGGUCAAUGGCCGGAAGUCUGAACCAGCCAAGCCGCGUGAAGGACGAAGGCUCCAAGCAUUGUAAACUUCUUUUGUCAAGGGAUAAAAUGAGGCUCGAGAGCCUUGCCUAGGGUACUUGAAGAAAAAGCAUCGGCAAACUCCUUGCCAGCAGCCGCGGUAAUACGGAGGAUGCGAGGUUUAUCCGGAUUUAUUGGGUUUAAAGGGGGCGUAGGCGGACUGUUAAGUCAGAGGUAAAAGCCCGGGGCUAAAACUCGGCUAGCCGUUGAAACUGGCUGUCUUGAGAUGACGAGAGGUAUGCGGAAUGCGUAGUGUAGCGGUGAAAUGCUUAGAUAUUGUGAAGAACUCCGAUCGCGAAGGCAGCAUACCGGCGGCGAACUGACGCUGAGGCUCGAAAGCGUGGGUAUCGAACAGGAUUAGAUACCCUUGUAGUC